CUUUUACAGUUCCAUAUUUAAAAGAAUAAAACAUUAUUUACAUUAUUUACAUUUGAUGGAUAUUUGUCCUCAUCUUGUUUGUUGUUAACACAACAUUUCGGCUGAUGUACUCUCCUGCCUUCAUUAUGUAUCUUGGGGAAGUUUCGAACCUAAGUUCUCACUCCUAAGGUAUUUUUCAGAUGUAUCAU
Molecule: long non-coding RNA, 188 nt
Organism: Octopus sinensis (East Asian common octopus)
Lineage: Eukaryota; Metazoa; Mollusca; Cephalopoda; Octopoda; Octopodidae
Exons: 3
Source: RefSeq, a predicted model, not a curated record